Molecule: ribosomal RNA, 255 nt
Filed under: uncultured bacterium
Lineage: Bacteria
Description: partial 16S ribosomal RNA
Rfam family: Bacterial small subunit ribosomal RNA
Source: RNAcentral
UACAGAGGGGGCAAGCGUUAUUCGGAAUUAUUGGGCGUAAAGGGCGCGUAGGCGGCUUUGCAAGCGACGGGUGAAAUCCCUCGGCUUAACCCGAGGAACUGCCUGUCGAACUGCUUAGCUUGAGGCCGGGAGAGGCGAGUGGAAUUCCCCAGUGUAGCGGUGAAAUGCGUAGAUAUUGGGAGGAACACCAGUGGCGAAGGCGGCUCGCUGGACCGGUUCUGACGCUGAGACGCGAAAGCGUGGGGAGCGAACAGG